AUUGAACGCUGGCGGCAUGCUUUACACAUGCAAGUCGAACGGCAGCACAGGGAGCUUGCUCCUGGGUGGCGAGUGGCGCACGGGUGAGUAAUACAUCGGAACGUGUCCUAUCGUGGGGGAUAACUGAGCGAAAGCUCGGCUAAUACCGCAUAAGACCUGAGGGUGAAAGUGGGGGAUCGAAAGACCUCAUGCGAUUGGAGCGGCCGAUGCCCCGAUUAGCUAGUUGGUGAGGUAAAGGCUCACCAAGGCGACGAUCGGUAGCUGGUCUGAGAGGACGACCAGCCACACUGGGACUGAGACACGGGCCCAGACUCCUACGGGAGGCAGCAGUGGGGAAUUUUUGGGACAAUGGGGGCAACCCUGAUCCAGCAACGCCGCGUGAGUGAAGAAGUAUUUCGGUAUGUAAAGGCUCUAUCAGCAGGGAAGAUAAUGACGGUACCU
Molecule: ribosomal RNA, 441 nt
Filed under: uncultured bacterium
Lineage: Bacteria
Description: bacterial SSU rRNA
Rfam family: Bacterial small subunit ribosomal RNA
Source: RNAcentral